Molecule: RNase P RNA, 273 nt
Filed under: Nitrospinota bacterium
Lineage: Bacteria; Pseudomonadati; Nitrospinota
Description: partial RNase P RNA component class A
Rfam family: Bacterial RNase P class A
About the family: Ribonuclease P (RNase P) is a ubiquitous endoribonuclease, found in archaea, bacteria and eukarya as well as chloroplasts and mitochondria. Its best characterised activity is the generation of mature 5'-ends of tRNAs by cleaving the 5'-leader elements of precursor-tRNAs.
Source: RNAcentral
CCAGACAAUUGAUUAGUCGCUUUUGUUUAUAAAGACAAGAGAGGAAAGUCCGGACUCUAUAAGAACACGGUGCCAGAUAACAUCUGGCGGGGGAAACCCCAGGGAUAGUGCCACAGAAAAUAUACCGCCUAAUCAAGGCAAGGGUGAAAAGGUGCGGUAAGAGCGCACCGGUUUUUUGGUAACAAAAAAUGCAUGGAAAACCCCACCGGGAGCAAGACCAAAUAGAGAUGGCGGGGUCUAAUUUUUUAUUUAGGCCAAAAACAGUUCUUAGUU